This 420-nucleotide unclassified non-coding RNA is filed under the name Hevea brasiliensis (rubber tree). Lineage: Eukaryota; Viridiplantae; Streptophyta; Magnoliopsida; Malpighiales; Euphorbiaceae. The record is from RNAcentral.
ACCGUAAGGUAGGAGGAGGUAAAAUAUACAAGUGGAAGAAAUAUUAUAUGGUGCACCAUUCCAUUCCACCAUCCAUUGACCAAUCCAAGACUAACUGAUUAUUACUCGUAUUCAUAAAAUUCAACAAAAAUUUAUUCCUAAAACUCAAAUCAGGCAAGCAACAAUAUAGAGUGAAAUAUACUAAUUUCCUAUCAUAAAUGAAGAGUCUAAAGAAUGAAGAAAAUUUUUUAAGUUUGAUGCUUUAAUUACCAAAGCAAUUCCUGGGUAAAAUUAGAGAUCAGAAGAUUUCUCUAUCCUUGACACUGGAAUGUGUCACGUACAAAAGAAGAAAGUAUAAGAAUAAGUGAAUUGAUCAAUUAGUUGUGAUGGUAGUUGAAGUUGUUGUAGCUUUCUGUUAGAGGUUGUUGGAGAAAUUGUAGC